GAUGAACGCUGGCGGCGUGCCUAAUACAUGCAAGUCGAGCGAACAGAUGAGGAGCUUGCUCCUCUGACGUUAGCGGCGGACGGGUGAGUAACACGUGGAUAACCUACCUAUAAGACUGGGAUAACUUCGGGAAACCGGAGCUAAUACCGGAUAAUAUAUUGAACCGCAUGGUUCAAUAGUGAAAGACGGUUUUGCUGUCACUUAUAGAUGGAUCCGCGCCGCAUUAGCUAGUUGGUAAGGUAACGGCUUACCAAGGCAACGAUGCGUAGCCGACCUGAGAGGGUGAUCGGCCACACUGGAACUGAGACACGGUCCAGACUCCUACGGGAGGAAGCAGUAGGGAAUCUUCCGCAAUGGGCGAAAGCCUGACGGAGCAACGCCGCGUGAGUGAUGGAGGUCUUCGGAUCGUAAAACUCUGUUAUUAGGGAAGAACAAAUGUGUAAGUAACUAUGCACGUCUUGACGGUACCUAAUCAGAAAGCCACGGCUAACUACGUG
RNAcentral lists this ribosomal RNA (497 nucleotides) under uncultured bacterium. RNAcentral's name for it is "partial 16S ribosomal RNA". It matches the Rfam family "Bacterial small subunit ribosomal RNA", at positions 28 to 507 of the family's 1533-position model. The record is from RNAcentral.